UCGUACAAACAUGUGUGAGGCGUGCGAGGGCUGUCGCUGACUUUUUGAGACACAAAAGUCGUGCACGCCGGAGUGCGUCCUCUCACAUAAAAUCCAUCUCACCCUUUUGUGCACCACCGCGUGGGCACCCUUUGGGAUCGAAUCGAUCCAGGAGGGGGCUUGCGUUUUCACACACACCCCUUUUAAAAAGUGUAGAAUGACCCCACUUUGCUAUACGCAAUCAAUACAACUUUCAACAACGGAUCUCUUGGCUCUCGCAUCGAUGAAGAACGCAGCGAAAUGCGAUACGUAAUGUGAAUUGCAGAAUUCAGUGAAUCAUCGAAUCUUUGAACGCACCUUGCGCCCCUUGGUAUUCCGAGGGGCACACCCGUUUGAGUGUCGUGAAAAUCUCAACCUUCUCGGUUUUCUUCUGGACACCGAAGGAGGCUUGGACUUUGGAGGCCUUUGCUGGCAUCUCUCUCUUCUUGAGAGCCAGCUCCUCUUAAAUGAAUUAGCGGGGUCCUCUUUGCCGAUCCUCGACAUGUGAUAAGAUGUUUCCAUGACUUGGUUUCUGGCUCUGUUGCCUUUGGGACCCGCUUCUAACCGUCUCGACGAGACGACGUUUGGGCGCGUCUCCCUUCUCGGGAGACACUCUCAACCCCACGAACC
RNAcentral lists this unclassified non-coding RNA (648 nucleotides) under uncultured Lactarius. Its description in RNAcentral is "sequence contains ITS1, 5.8S rRNA gene, ITS2". The stretch from base 228 to 381 matches the Rfam family "5.8S ribosomal RNA". The record is from RNAcentral. Lineage: Eukaryota; Fungi; Basidiomycota; Agaricomycetes; Russulales; Russulaceae.